Molecule: ribosomal RNA, 478 nt
Filed under: uncultured bacterium
Lineage: Bacteria
Description: partial 16S ribosomal RNA
Rfam family: Bacterial small subunit ribosomal RNA
Source: RNAcentral
AUGAACGCUGGCGGCGUGCUUAACACAUGCAAGUCGAACGAAGCACUUUAACCUGAUUCUUCGGAUGAAGGUUUUUGUGACUGAGUGGCGGACGGGUGAGUAACGCGUGGGUAACCUGCCUCAUACAGGGGGAUAACAGUUAGAAAUGACUGCUAAUACCGCAUAAGACCACAGAGCCGCAUGGCUCGGUGGGAAAAACUCCGGUGGUAUGAGAUGGACCCGCGUCUGAUUAGGUAGUUGGUGGGGUAACGGCCUACCAAGCCAACGAUCAGUAGCCGACCUGAGAGGGUGACCGGCCACAUUGGGACUGAGACACGGCCCAAACUCCUACGGGAGGCAGCAGUGGGGAAUAUUGCACAAUGGGGGAAACCCUGAUGCAGCGACGCCGCGUGAGCGAAGAAGUAUUUCGGUAUGUAAAGCUCUAUCAGCAGGGAAGAAAAUGACGGUACCUGACGAAGAAGCACCGGCUAAAUACGUG